AUUGAACGCUGGCGGCAUGCCUUACACAUGCAAGUCGAACGUGAAAGGGGGGCAACCCCCGAGUAGAGUGGCGGACGGGUGAGCAACACAUCGGAACGUACCCAGUAGUGGGGGACAACCUCGAGAAAUCGAGGCUAAUACCGCAUACGACCCACGGGUGAAAGCGGGGGACCGCAAGGCCUCGCGCUAUUGGAGCGGCCGAUGUCCGAUUAGCUUGUUGGUGGGGUAACGGCCCACCAAGGCGACGAUCGGUAGCUGGUCUGAGAGGAUGAUCAGCCACACUGGGACUGAGACACGGCCCAGACUCCUACGGGAGGCAGCAGUGGGGAAUUUUGGACAAUGGGGCAACCCUGAUCCAGCCAUGCCGCGUGCGGGAAGAAGGCC
This 384-nucleotide ribosomal RNA is filed under the name uncultured bacterium. Its description in RNAcentral is "bacterial SSU rRNA". It matches the Rfam family "Bacterial small subunit ribosomal RNA", at positions 29 to 416 of the family's 1533-position model. The record is from RNAcentral.